RNAcentral lists this ribosomal RNA (347 nucleotides) under uncultured eukaryote. RNAcentral describes it as "SSU rRNA". It matches the Rfam family "Eukaryotic small subunit ribosomal RNA", at positions 594 to 945 of the family's 1831-position model. The record is from RNAcentral.
AUAGCGUAUAUUAAAGUUGUUGCAGUUAAAAAGCUCGUAGUUGAAUUUCGGGAUCAAUUGAUCGGUCGUGCCUCUGGUACGCACUGGUUUUAUUGGUUUCUCCCUUCUGACGAACCAGGAUGUCAUUAAUUUGGUGUCUUGGAGAAUCAGGACUGUUACUUUGAAAAAAUUAGAGUGUUUAAAGCAGGCUAACGCUUGAAUACAUUAGCAUGGAAUAAUGAAAUAGGACGUUUGAUCCUAUUUUGUUGGUUUCUAGGAUCGACGUAAUGAUUAAUAGGGAUAGUUGGGGGCAUUAGUAUUCAAUUGUCAGAGGUGAAAUUCUUGGAUUUAUUGAAGACUAACUACUG